UGACUGAAGCAUCUGAGGGAGA
RNAcentral lists this microRNA (22 nucleotides) under Cavia porcellus (domestic guinea pig). Its description in RNAcentral is "cpo-miR-509a-3p". Its record names the gene cpo-miR-509a-3p. Lineage: Eukaryota; Metazoa; Chordata; Mammalia; Rodentia; Caviidae. The record is from miRBase by way of RNAcentral.